This 254-nucleotide ribosomal RNA is filed under the name uncultured bacterium. RNAcentral's name for it is "partial 16S ribosomal RNA". It matches the Rfam family "Bacterial small subunit ribosomal RNA", at positions 524 to 776 of the family's 1533-position model. The record is from RNAcentral.
UACGGGGGGAGCAAGCGUUGUUCGGAUUUACUGGGCGUAAAGGGCGCGUAGGCGGCCACCGCAAGUCGACUGUGAAAUCUCCGGGCUUAACCCGGAAAGGUCAGCCGAUACUGCGGGGCUAGAGUGCAGAAGGGGCAACUGGAAUUCUCGGUGUAGCGGUGAAAUGCGUAGAUAUCGAGAGGAACACCUGCGGCGAAGGCGGGUUGCUGGGCUGAUACUGACGCUGAGGAGCGAAAGCGUGGGGAGCAAACAGG